UACAGAGGUCUCAAGCGUUGUUCGGAAUCACUGGGCGUAAAGGGUGCGUAGGCGGCGCGGAAAGUCAGAUGUGAAAUCCGGAGGCUCAACCUCCGAAUUGCAUCCGAUACUCCCGCGCUAGAGAUUUGUAGGGGAGCUUGGAAUUCUCGGUGUAGCAGUGAAAUGCGUAGAUAUCGAGAAGAACGCUCGCAGCGAAGGCGAAGCUCUGGGCAACAUCUGACGCUGAUGCACGAAGGCUAGGGGAGCAAACGGG
RNAcentral lists this ribosomal RNA (253 nucleotides) under uncultured bacterium. RNAcentral describes it as "partial 16S ribosomal RNA". It matches the Rfam family "Bacterial small subunit ribosomal RNA", at positions 524 to 776 of the family's 1533-position model. The record is from RNAcentral.